Molecule: ribosomal RNA, 1470 nt
Filed under: Pseudoleptodeira latifasciata
Lineage: Eukaryota; Metazoa; Chordata; Lepidosauria; Squamata; Dipsadidae
Description: 16S ribosomal RNA
Rfam family: Bacterial large subunit ribosomal RNA
Source: RNAcentral
GCUUAAAUAACAACAUACACAAACAUCCAUAAAACACCAAACAAACCAUUUGACCCACCAAGUAGAUGUGAUCGAACAGUAAUAUAUAAACCUAAAAGUACCGCAAGGGAAAACCAUAAGCAACAAACAGCAAAGAUAAAUCCUUGUACCUUUUGUAUCAUGAUUUAGCAAGCUAAAUAAGACAAGAAGAAUCACAGCCUAUAUUCCCGAAACCAAGUGAGCUACUUUAAAGCAGCUAAUAGAGCAAACCCGUCUCUGUGACAAAAGAGUGGGAAGACUUAAAAGUAGAGGUGAAACGCCUAUCGAACCUGGAGAUAGCUGGCUACCCAAAAAAGAAUCUAAGUUCUACUUUAGAUCAAACUAUAAUCAAUUAUAAACUAAAGAUAAUCAAUAGGGGUACAGCUCUAUUGAUCCGGGAUUCAACCCGAAUUUAAGAGAAACAAACAUAUUAUUAAACCAGUAGACCUCAAAGCAGUCACCUAAUAAAAUAUCGUUAUAGAAUUAAUAAAAAAAUCUAAAUACUAAACAAAAUCUCUAAACAAACUAAAGGUAAUUCCAUCUCCAUGGAAGCUAUUAUGCUAAUACUAAUAAUAAGAAAUCACCUCUAUAAACGCACUCCUCCACUAGAAACGGACAAUCCACUAGCUAUUAACAGACCAAAACAGGCCAAACAACCAACCAAUACACAUCCUUAUACAAACUGUGACACCAACACAGGUGCGUUAAAAAGAAAGAUAAAAUAUUAUAAAAGGAACUCGGCAACCAAAGACCCCAACUGUUUAACAAAAACAUAACCUUUAGCCAAACAAAUAUUAAAGGCAACGCCUGCCCAGUGAACAAUUAAACGGCCGCGGUACCCUAACCGUGCAAAGGUAGCGUAAUCAUUUGUCUAUUAAUUGUAGACCAGUAUGAAAGGCAAAAUGAGGGUCUAUCUGUCUCUUAUAAUAAAUCAAUUAAACUGAUCUCCUAGUAAAAAAGCUGGGAUACCUACAUAAGACCAGAAGACCCUGUGAAGCUUAAACUAAACUAUUAAACCUAAUAAUACUAACUUUCGGUUGGGGCGACCUUGGAAAAAAAAGAAACUUCCAAAUACAUGACCAUAACUCACAUACAGGCUUACAAGCCUAACAAGACCCAGCAUAGCUGAUUAUUGAACCAAGUUACUCCAGGGAUAACAGCGCUAUCUUCUUCAAGAGUCCAUAUCAAAAAGAAGGUUUACGACCUCGAUGUUGGAUCAGGACAUCCUAAUGGUGCAGCAGCUAUUAAGGGUUCGUUCGUUCAACGAUUAAUAGUCCUACGUGAUCUGAGUUCAGACCGGAGCAAUCCAGGUCGGUUUCUAUCUAUGACUCGCCCUACCCAGUACGAAAGGAUCGGUAAAGCAGAGCCAAUACUUAAGGCACGCUCUAUAGUAAAAACAAAAUACACAGCCCACCACCUAACCAAGAUAAGGUUAAUUAAGGACACCCCUUA